ACUCCUACGGGAGGCAGCAGUGGGGAAUUUUGGACAAUGGGCGAAAGCCUGAUCCAGCAAUGCCGCGUGAGUGAAGAAGGCCUUCGGGUUGUAAAGCUCUUUUGUCAGGGAAGAAACGGUGAAAGCUAAUAUCUUUUGCUAAUGACGGUACCUGAAGAAUAAGCACCGGCUAACUACGUGCCAGCAGCCGCGGUAAUACGUAGGGUGCAAGCGUUAAUCGGAAUUACUGGGCGUAAAGCGUGCGCAGGCGGUUUUGUAAGUCUGAUGUGAAAUCCCCGGGCUCAACCUGGGAAUUGCAUUGGAGACUGCAAGGCUAGAAUCUGGCAGAGGUGGGUAGAAUUCCACGUGUAGCAGUGAAAUGCGUAGAUAUGUGGAGGAACACCGAUGGCGAAGGCAGCCCCCUGGGUCAAGAUUGACGCUCAUGCACGAAAGCGUGGGGAGCAAACAGGAUUAGAUACCCGGGUAGUCCC
RNAcentral lists this ribosomal RNA (470 nucleotides) under uncultured organism. RNAcentral's name for it is "partial 16S ribosomal RNA". It matches the Rfam family "Bacterial small subunit ribosomal RNA", at positions 335 to 797 of the family's 1533-position model. The record is from RNAcentral.